GUUCGGAUUGCAGGCUGCAACCCGCCUGCAUGAAGUUGGAAUCGCUAGUAAUCGCGGAUCAGCAUGCCGCGGUGAAUACGUUCCCGGGCCUUGUACACACCGCCCGUCACACCAUGAGAGUCGGGAACACCCGAAGUCCGUAGCCUGACCGCGAAGGGGGGCGCGGCCGAAGGUGGGUUCGAUAAUUGGGGUGAAGUCGUAACAAGGUAAC
Molecule: ribosomal RNA, 211 nt
Filed under: uncultured bacterium
Lineage: Bacteria
Description: partial 16S ribosomal RNA
Rfam family: Bacterial small subunit ribosomal RNA
Source: RNAcentral